Molecule: ribosomal RNA, 217 nt
Filed under: uncultured bacterium
Lineage: Bacteria
Description: partial 16S ribosomal RNA
Rfam family: Bacterial small subunit ribosomal RNA
Source: RNAcentral
ACGCUCGACACCUACGGGAGGGAGCAGUGAGGAAUAUUGGUCAAUGGGCGCUAGCCUGAACCAGCCAAGUAGCGUGAAGGAUGAAGGCUCUAUGGGUCGUAAACUUCUUUUAUAUAAGAAUAAAGUGCAGUAUGUAUACUGUUUUGUAUGUAUUAUAUGAAUAAGGAUCGGCUAACUCCGUGGCAGCAGCGCGGUAAUCUGAGCGGGCUGGCAAGGC